This 441-nucleotide long non-coding RNA is filed under the name Anolis carolinensis (green anole). RNAcentral's name for it is "lncRNA (ENSACAG00000036273.1)". Lineage: Eukaryota; Metazoa; Chordata; Lepidosauria; Squamata; Anolidae. The record is from RNAcentral.
AUGCUUCUGAAUCUCCUAUGGAUCAUUGAGUUGGCUCUGGGUGGAGAAACCGUCAAAGAGAGCUUGAGAGGGAGAACCGGAGAGGAGCUACACUGCUUGAUUAUGCCCUUUUCACCCUAUAUAAGGACAGUCCUCAAGAUGAACAAAUACCUUCUCCUGGGCUUCUCUGUUCUACUCUUCUGUGCAACUGCUCAAUCUCUUGUGUGCAGAGUUUGCAAAUAUAAACUUGGUACUCUCUGUUUCAAGUCGGAUGAGCCCUGCAGGGCCAAAGAAGGCCAGCUUUGUGAGACAACUGAGGUGUAUUCGGAUAGGGUAUUGCUCUACAAAACACAUGGCUGUGGCAAAUACGCAGAGCUCUGCAACAAGACAGAGGAGCGGGAAAACGCCUUCAAGAUGGCCUACAAGCGCACCUGCUGCGAUGCUGACUUGUGCAAUGUUUGA